GGGCCUGUGGCUUAGUGGUAGGGCGCCCGCCUGAUGCGUGGGAGGUCGUAGGUUCAAUUCCUACCAGGCCCA
This 72-nucleotide transfer RNA is filed under the name Microcaldota archaeon. RNAcentral's name for it is "tRNA-Ile". It matches the Rfam family "tRNA". Rfam says of the family: Transfer RNA (tRNA) molecules are approximately 80 nucleotides in length. Their secondary structure includes four short double-helical elements and three loops (D, anti-codon, and T loops). The record is from RNAcentral. Lineage: Archaea; Nanobdellati; Microcaldota.